UACAGAGGGUGCUAGCGUUAAUCGGAAUUACUGGGCGUAAAGCGUGUGUAGGUGGUUAGAUAAGUUAGAUGUGAAAUCCCCGGGCUUAACCUGGGAAUUGCGUUUAAGACUGUUUAGCUUGAGUACUGUAGAGGAUAGUGGAAUUUCCAGUGUAGCGGUGAAAUGCGUAGAUAUUGGAAGGAACACCAGUGGCGAAGGCGACUAUCUGGAUAGAUACUGACACUGAGACACGAAAGCGUGGGGAGCAAACAGG
RNAcentral lists this unclassified non-coding RNA (253 nucleotides) under uncultured Gammaproteobacteria bacterium. Its description in RNAcentral is "contains 16S-23S intergenic spacer region". It matches the Rfam family "Bacterial small subunit ribosomal RNA", at positions 524 to 776 of the family's 1533-position model. Lineage: Bacteria; Pseudomonadati; Pseudomonadota; Gammaproteobacteria. The record is from RNAcentral.